Molecule: ribosomal RNA, 392 nt
Filed under: Salmonella enterica subsp. enterica serovar Anatum
Lineage: Bacteria; Pseudomonadati; Pseudomonadota; Gammaproteobacteria; Enterobacterales; Enterobacteriaceae
Description: bacterial SSU rRNA
Rfam family: Bacterial small subunit ribosomal RNA
Source: RNAcentral
CAGAUCCUACGGGAGGCAGCAGUAGGGAAUCUUCCGCAAUGGGCGAAAGCCUGACGGAGCAACGCCGCGUGAGUGAUGAAGGUCUUCGGAUCGUAAAACUCUGUUAUUAGGGAAGAACAUAUGUGUAAGUAACUGUGCACAUCUUGACGGUACCUAAUCAGAAAGCCACGGCUAACUACGUGCCAGCAGCCGCGGUAAUACGUAGGUGGCAAGCGUUAUCCUGAAUUAUUGGUCGUAAAGCGCGCGUAGGCGGUUUUUUAAGUCUGAUGUGAAAGCCCACGGCAUCAACCUGGGAACUGCAUUCGAAACUGGCAGGCUGGAGUCUUGCAGCGGGGGAUAGAGUUCCAGGUUUGGCGCGGAAGUCCGUAGGACGCUGGAGGAAUGCCGGUGGC